Molecule: ribosomal RNA, 381 nt
Filed under: Veillonella parvula
Lineage: Bacteria; Bacillati; Bacillota; Negativicutes; Veillonellales; Veillonellaceae
Description: bacterial SSU rRNA
Rfam family: Bacterial small subunit ribosomal RNA
Source: RNAcentral
GACGAACGCUGGCGGCGUGCUUAACACAUGCAAGUGAACGAAGAGCGAUGGAAGCUUGCUUCUAUCAAUCUUAGUGGCGAACGGGUGAGUAACGCGUAAUCAACCUGCCCUUCAGAGGGGGACAACAGUUGGAAACGACUGCUAAUAACGCAUACGAUCUAAUCUCGGCAUCGAGGAAAGAUGAAAGGUGGCCUCUACAUGUAAGCUAUCACUGAAGGAGGGAUUGCGUCUGCUAGUAGUUGGAGGGGUAACGGCCCACCAAGGGAUGAUCAGUAGCCGGUCUGAGAGGAUGAACGGCCACAUUGGGACUGAGACACGCCCAGACUCCUACGGGAGGCAGCAGUGGGGAAUCUUCCGCAAUGGACGAAAGUCUGAGGAGCA